Molecule: ribosomal RNA, 498 nt
Filed under: uncultured bacterium
Lineage: Bacteria
Description: partial 16S ribosomal RNA
Rfam family: Bacterial small subunit ribosomal RNA
Source: RNAcentral
AUUGAACGCUGGCGGCAUGCCUUACACAUGCAAGUCGAACGGUAACGCGGGGCAACCUGGCGACGAGUGGCGAACGGGUGAGUAAUGCAUCGGAACGUGCCCAGUAGUGGGGGAUAGCCCGGCGAAAGCCGGAUUAAUACCGCAUACGACCUACGGGUGAAAGCGGGGGACCGCAAGGCCUCGCGCUAUUGGAGCGGCCGAUGUCAGAUUAGGUUGUUGGUGAGGUAAAGGCUCACCAAGCCGACGAUCUGUAGCUGGUCUGAGAGGACGACCAGCCGCACUGGGACUGGGCCGCGGCCCAGACUCCUACGGGAGGCAGCAGUGGGGAAUUUUGGACAAGGGGCGCAAGCCUGAUCCAGCCAUGCCGCGUGCGGGAAGAAGGCCUUCGGGUUGUAAACCGCUUUUGUCGGGGAAGAAAUCUUCUGGGCUAAUACCCCGGGAGGAUGACGGUACCUGGAGAAUAAGCACCGGCUAACUACGUGCCAGCAGCAGCCGCAG